GCACAGGAUGCACCGUAGUUUACUACACCGUAUUCUGUGAGUUGCGAACGGGUGAGUAACGCGUAGGUAACCUGCCUGGUAGCGGGGGAUAACUAUUGGAAACGAUAGCUAAUACCGCAUAAGAACAUUUACUGCAUGGUAGAUGUUUAAAAGGUGCAAGAGCAUCACUACCAGAUGGACCUGCGUUGUAUUAGCUAGUUGGUGAGGUAACGGCUCACCAAGGCAACGAUACAUAGCCGACCUGAGAGGGUGAUCGGCCACACUGGGACUGAGACACGGCCCAGACUCCUACGGGAGGCAGCAGUAGGGAAUCUUCGGCAAUGGGGGGAACCCUGACCGAGCAACGCCGCGUGAGUGAAGAAGGUUUUCGGAUCGUAAAGCUCUGUUGUUAAGGAAGAACGUGUGUGAGAGUGGAAAGUUCACACAGUGACGGUACUUAACCAGAAAGGGACGGCUAACUACGUGCCAGCAGCCGCGGUAAUACGUAGGUCCCGAGCGUUGUCCGGAUUUAUUGGGCGUAAAGCGAGCGCAGGCGGUUAGAUAAGUCUGAAGUGAAAGGCAGUGGCUCAACCAUUGUAGGCUUUGGAAACUGUUUAACUUGAGUGCAGAAGGGGAGAGUGGAAUUCCAUGUGUAGCGGUGAAAUGCGUAGAUAUAUGGAGGAACACCGGUGGCGAAAGCGGCUCUCUGGUCUGUAACUGACGC
Molecule: ribosomal RNA, 703 nt
Filed under: uncultured Bacilli bacterium
Lineage: Bacteria; Bacillati; Bacillota; Bacilli
Description: bacterial SSU rRNA
Rfam family: Bacterial small subunit ribosomal RNA
Source: RNAcentral